RNAcentral lists this small RNA (148 nucleotides) under Pongo abelii (Sumatran orangutan). Its description in RNAcentral is "Metazoan signal recognition particle RNA (ENSPPYG00000038531.1)". Lineage: Eukaryota; Metazoa; Chordata; Mammalia; Primates; Hominidae. The record is from Rfam by way of RNAcentral.
GCCGGGCGUGGUGGCGGGCGCCUGUAAUCCCAGCUACUUGGGACGCUGAGGCAGGAGAAUCACUUGAAUCCAGGAGGCGGAGGUUGCAGUGAGCCAAGAUCAUGCCACUGCACUCCAGCCUGGGUGACAGAGUGAGACUCUGUCUCAA